RNAcentral lists this long non-coding RNA (693 nucleotides) under Bos grunniens (domestic yak). RNAcentral's name for it is "lncRNA (ENSBGRG00000013874.1)". The record is from RNAcentral. Lineage: Eukaryota; Metazoa; Chordata; Mammalia; Artiodactyla; Bovidae.
GCUGUGCGCGCGCCCGGCCGUCCUUCCUGUCGCACUUCAGGUGGACAAGCGUGGGCUUGUCGAGUGCAACCGCAGAGGCACCGGCGGCCACCACGUCACCCCUCCCUUCGCAGGGUCCUCUUCCUGUUCUCUGACUCUGCUUCGGAGAGUGCUUCCUUAGCUUCGGGAAGAGGCUGUAAUCUAACUCAUCGUCUGUUUGCUCUGAAAACCAGCGUGGACGUGCAGAGGCCGACUGGAUCACCGUCAGUAACCGUGCUGCCAGUCCGAGAAGCCAGCCCGGCCUCUGAAGCGUACGACCUUGAGCUGCUCAAGGACAAGCACAGACCAAGGGAUGCUCUCUGGACGAAGAUGCUCCAAGAGAAAAUGAAUACGCAGCAGAGGCAGAGGAAGACCCCCAGCCUUGGCUCUCAGCGGGACCUGGAGAGCCAGCGGAGAGAGGACAAGAUUAUCUGUAAAUCAGAUAAGAAGGAUUCUCAAAGUAAAAGAUAUCUUAGUCGCUUACAUCAGAUGUAUUCCACUUCGCUCGCCAACAUGGAGUUCUCCAGGAGGAGUAACCUUCCAGAACAAAUGAGGAGUAAGCCUGCCUCUCCAGGGAUGACCACAGCACCCCUCACCCUGGAACAAGCAAGUCAGAAGUCCCGUGUUCUGGAGGCUAAGGCAGCAAGUCGAUACUGGACUAACUAUGUGGAUUGA